GGGGAAUAUUGGGCAAUGGGGGAAACCCUGACCCAGCAACGCCGCGUGAAGGACGAAGGCCUUCGGGUUGUAAACUUCUUUGAUCAGGGACGAAAGCAAUGACGGUACCUGAAGAACAAGCCACGGCUAACUACGUGCCAGCAGCCGCGGUAAUACGUAGGUGGCGAGCGUUAUCCGGAUUUACUGGGUGUAAAAGGCGUGUAGGCGGGUUUGCAAGUCGGGUGUGAAAGAUUCGGGCUUAACCCGGAGAGGUCAUCCGAAACUGCAGAUCUUGAGUGCUGGAGAGGAUAGUGGAAUUCCUGGUGUAGCGGUAAAAUGCGUAGAGAUCAGGAGGAACACCAGUGGCGAAGGCGGCUAUCUGGACAGUAACUGACGCUGAGGCGCGAAAGCGUGGGGAGCAAACAG
RNAcentral lists this ribosomal RNA (405 nucleotides) under uncultured bacterium. RNAcentral describes it as "bacterial SSU rRNA". It matches the Rfam family "Bacterial small subunit ribosomal RNA", at positions 356 to 775 of the family's 1533-position model. The record is from RNAcentral.